ACUCCUUUGAGUAUAUAAACCCGCACCAAAAUCGAACUAUCACCCGUCCAGUAUCGAUUGAGUUGCUCCUGAUUUAUUGAAGUUACGGUUAAAGGCUUCUACGCUGAUCAUCAUGAGUCUUGUGAAGAGUCUUCUGCAAUUAGCUUUGGUCAUCAUUGCUAUCAGCAUGGUGGCAGCCAAAUACGAUGACAAUUGUAAUGUCUCCGAGGACGAGUGCCAACGGCGGUGUGACAGGGAAUUUGGAACAUCCAGUGAAAAACCAAAAGUUAUUUGCACCGAUGGCCAAUGCAACUGCACCUGGUAACCAAUGACAAUAAACUAUGAGCAAUGGAUUCUCUAUUUCUUCUAUGCAAUGGUUACAAAAUUUUCUUCUCAUUGAGUGUUAUAAAAUUAUCAAAAUUUUAAGAAGUUGGAUUAAUAAAUUCAAUAAUUACCAUGGA
Long non-coding RNA from Diachasmimorpha longicaudata, 440 nucleotides. RefSeq lists it as uncharacterized. The record is from RefSeq and is a predicted model, not a curated record. The transcript has 2 exons. NCBI's taxonomy places the organism in Eukaryota, Metazoa, Arthropoda, Insecta, Hymenoptera, Braconidae.